RNAcentral lists this ribosomal RNA (412 nucleotides) under uncultured bacterium. RNAcentral's name for it is "bacterial SSU rRNA". It matches the Rfam family "Bacterial small subunit ribosomal RNA", at positions 9 to 418 of the family's 1533-position model. The record is from RNAcentral.
GAGUUUGAUCGUGGCUCAGGAUGAACGCUAGCGACAGGCUUAACACAUGCAAGUCGAGGGGCAGCGGGGGUAGCAAUACCCGCCGGCGACCGGCGCACGGGUGAGUAACACGUAUCCAACCUGCCCUUUACUCGGGGAUAGCCUUUCGAAAGAAAGAUUAAUACCCGAUAGCAUAAUGAUUCCGCAUGGUUUCAUUAUUAAAGGAUUCCGGUAAAGGAUGGGGAUGCGUUCCAUUAGGUUGUUGGUGAGGUAACGGCUCACCAAGCCUUCGAUGGAUAGGGGUUCUGAGAGGAAGGUCCCCCACAUUGGAACUGAGACACGGUCCAAACUCCUACGGGAGGCAGCAGUGAGGAAUAUUGGUCAAUGGGCGUUUAGCCUGAACCAGCCAAGUAGCGUGAAGGAUGAAGGCUCU